GAUGAAGAACGUAGCGAAAUGCGAUACGUAAUGUGAAUUGCAAAUUCAGUGAAUCAUCGAGUCUUUGAACGCACAUUGCGCCCCCUGGUAUUCUGGGGGGCAUGCCUGUCCGAGCGUCAUUGCUGCCCUCAAGCACGGCUUGUGUGUUGGGCCCCGUCCUCCGAUUCCGGGGGACGGGCCCGAAAGGCAGCGGCGGCACCGCGUCCGGUCCUCGAGCGUAUGGGGCUUUGUCACCCGCUCUGUAGGCCCGGCCGGCGCUUGCCGAUCAACCCAAAUUUUUAUCCAGGUUGACCUCGGAUCAGGUAGGGAUACCCGCUGAACUUAAGCAUAUCAAUAAGCGGAGGA
RNAcentral lists this unclassified non-coding RNA (345 nucleotides) under soil metagenome. RNAcentral's name for it is "partial contains 5.8S ribosomal RNA, internal transcribed spacer 2, and large subunit ribosomal RNA". The stretch from base 1 to 119 matches the Rfam family "5.8S ribosomal RNA", at positions 35 to 154 of the family's 154-position model. The record is from RNAcentral.